Non-coding RNA from Peromyscus maniculatus bairdii (prairie deer mouse), 1075 nucleotides. The record is from RefSeq and is a predicted model, not a curated record. NCBI's taxonomy places the organism in Eukaryota, Metazoa, Chordata, Mammalia, Rodentia, Cricetidae.
GUGGAUGACAGCCUCAGUGUAAGGCAUUUUGGUGCGGUCAUCAAGGUUUGGGAGUCGGUGUGAGCCAAUCACCUGAUCGAUCUCCUUUUGGACUUUCUCUGCACAGAAAAGAGGAACAGUGUGGAUCUGCUUUGAUGGACUUACCUUCUCCAUGCGUAGAAGGUAGGUAUCGAUGAAGUCCCUUGGAUUGCUGGGGUCCAAGGUUGCCCUGUGCUUCUCCACACUCUGGCCAAUGAAGUCAAGGAUUUCCUGCAGGUUUUUGGAGAUUUGUCUGUGGGUACCGGGAAAGUACUUCAGGAAGCCAGAGAAGAGCUCAAACAUCUGCAGGAAAGAAGGACUCACCCUGGGAUUUCCGGAGCUCCUCAACCAGGCAUUGGGCCUCCUCCUGAAUCCGCUCUUCCACACUCCGCUUGCCCAUCCCAAAGUCUCUCAUGGUGGCCAGAGAGAAUCGCCGAAGGGUCUUCCAGCGUUCCCCAUUGGCAAAGACCACACCUAAGAAAGCAGGGGGAGCAUGGGGGAGUUAUAGAGGAAGUUCAAAGAAACCUGGGUCCUUCCCCACCCCAUGUCCUCCCUUCCAUCAGAUUCUCCUCUCUCUGGACCCAUUCUCCAGCCCACCUCAACCCAAACUUUGAGACUCCUACCAUAGUCCUUGAAGACUGGUCUAACCACAGCAAUUGUCCCUCGGCCAGAGAAAGCCUCAGCUUGGUCCACCAGCGCCUCCCUUAUGGCCUCUGUGCCAUACAGCAUGACCACGGGCCUCGGUCCCAGGUGCAUUGUGAACACAUCUCCAUAUUUUUCUCGAAGCUGCCAAGCAUAAGGACACCAGGAUUGUUGUUAGUCAGUGCAGAUAUUGUUGGUACCCUGUGAAAACACUUAGACACAGAGUGAUACAGAGGAAGACCUCCCCUGGCCACCUUUCUGAGGACCUAGCAAUUUCAGGGUCAAUCCACCACCAUGGAAGUCUGCAUGGAUGCUGGAUGAUCUGAUCAGUACUGCAUUACAAUAUGGCUGUAGGUGUGGGACUCAUGCUUUAUCUCAGCACUGGGGAAAUAAAUGAGGUGGAUCAGAAGUUCAA